UAAAAAGGGGACGGGGCUGUCCCGCCCUGUUUUCCUGUUUCAAUUAAAAUGACGUCAACACAUAGAAUAACGCUGCUACGCACCUUAAAAACCCGCCAAUAAACCCAGAGAAGAAGAAGAAGAACGCUGCGUGUGUCAAAGCAUUUUAGGGGACCUUUAAGGUUUAUAACAUCAUUAAUCAAUCCAAAUCCUAUUACUCUUCUAACCCUCGCGUUCCUGGACAUGAUGCUGAGUGCUGUGCUGUGACGCAUCUCCAACACUAGAGAGCAGAACUGCAACAGCUCUUUGACAGCUAUUUGACUUGCUGAAAUGGGGUCCUACAGGACCAAAGCCUGCUCAUGUAACAGUCUCUCCCUUAUAUGGAAGCCCACCUUGGCCCAUUCGUGCUCCGGUCAGAGCCCCUUUAUCAGUGCCGAAGUCCAGCUCUCUACACACCAAACUGGAGGACGGCAGGUUCCAGCGAUCGUCACAGACAAACACAUACUCACUCCCCUUCAGGACCUUCACACGACCCUCACCUGUCUUUGCCCCACCCUUCAGACGCACCUGAGACUGGAGAAUGAGAAGGAGCAUGGCCACCGGAAGCCAUAAUUUACAGGUUCAUACUUGGCACUGUGCGACCAGCUUAGUGCCUCCAUAAACCCUAGAUGGCGUCAGAGAACAUGAGUGUUGGCCAAGGUGAAGUCGUCAUCACAUUACAUCUCUUCUUUGUAAAACACUUCCACUCUCCCUUCGUUGUGCUUGCUAUCCCACAAUCCUCCUCUCAGCAUGGCUUGAAAGUGUGAGAGAAGAAGAGAGCAAGAUAAACUGUAAAAGAGAGUGUGAAUAUAUGUUAAUGUAUAUAAAUUAAUUUGCAGGGUUAAAAUGUGCAUGUAAUUACACUAAAAUAAAGCAAAUAUCGCUUAAAUCUUCA
Long non-coding RNA from Cyprinus carpio (common carp), 913 nucleotides. The record is from Ensembl. Lineage: Eukaryota; Metazoa; Chordata; Actinopteri; Cypriniformes; Cyprinidae.